RNAcentral lists this ribosomal RNA (404 nucleotides) under Actinomycetes bacterium. RNAcentral describes it as "Actinobacteria bacterium partial 16S ribosomal RNA". It matches the Rfam family "Bacterial small subunit ribosomal RNA", at positions 355 to 776 of the family's 1533-position model. The record is from RNAcentral. Lineage: Bacteria; Bacillati; Actinomycetota; Actinomycetes.
UGGGGAAUAUUGGACAAUGGGCGCAAGCCUGAUCCAGCCAUGCCGCGUGAGUGAUGAAGGCCCUAGGGUUGUAAAGCUCUUUCACCGGUGAAGAUAAUGACGGUAAUCGGAGAAGAAGCGACGGCUAACUUCGUGCCAGCAGCCGCGGUAAUACGAAGGGGGCUAGCGUUGUUCGGAAUUACUGGGCGUAAAGCGCACGUAGGCGGACUUUUAAGUCAGGGGUGAAAUCCCGGGGCUCAACCCCGGAACUGCCUUUGAUACUGGAAGUCUUGAGUAGGGUAGAGGUGAGUGGAAUUCCGAGUGUAGAGGUGAAAUUCGUAGAUAGUCGGGGGAACACCAAUGGCGAAGGCGGCUCACUGGACCAUUACUGACGCUGGGGUGCGAAAGCGUGGGGAGCAAACAGG